GACGAACGCUGGCGGCGUGCUUAACACAUGCAAGUCGAACGUGAUUUUUAUGAACAUUCUUUCCGGACUUGAGAUGCAAUGAAAUUGGCGAACCGGUGAGUAACUCGUUAUCAACCUACCUUACACAGGGGGAUACCCGUUUGAAACGACGAUUAAUACCGCAUGAGACCACAGAAUCGCAUAAUAUAGGUUUCCAAGAUUUAUGGGGUUAAUUAGUGCGCGAGUGGGAUUCGCUAAUUGGAAGGGUAAAGGCCUACCAAGGCGACGAUCAGUAGCCGGUAAGAGAGGAUGAACCGAGACAUCGGAACUGAGAAACGGUCCAAAAUCUUACGGGAGGCAGCAGUGGGGAACAUUGCAAAAUGGGGGGAACACUGAUGCAGCGCGGACGGGUGAGCGAAGAAGGUUGUCGAAAAGUAAAGUUCUGUUAUAUGAGAAGAUAAUGACGGUACCAAAGGAGAAAGCCCCGGCUAACUACGUG
RNAcentral lists this ribosomal RNA (478 nucleotides) under uncultured bacterium. RNAcentral's name for it is "partial 16S ribosomal RNA". It matches the Rfam family "Bacterial small subunit ribosomal RNA", at positions 28 to 507 of the family's 1533-position model. The record is from RNAcentral.